RNAcentral lists this RNase P RNA (397 nucleotides) under Akkermansiaceae bacterium. RNAcentral describes it as "RNase P RNA component class A". It matches the Rfam family "Bacterial RNase P class A". From Rfam's summary of the family: Ribonuclease P (RNase P) is a ubiquitous endoribonuclease, found in archaea, bacteria and eukarya as well as chloroplasts and mitochondria. Its best characterised activity is the generation of mature 5'-ends of tRNAs by cleaving the 5'-leader elements of precursor-tRNAs. The record is from RNAcentral. Lineage: Bacteria; Pseudomonadati; Verrucomicrobiota; Verrucomicrobiia; Verrucomicrobiales; Akkermansiaceae.
GCCGUCUCCCGGGCGGUCGCAAUGGGGCGCAAGCUCCUAUUGAGGAAAGUCCGGACACCGUAGGGCAACCCGCCUUGUGAAAGCAGGGAACGCAAACCGAGAGGGGAGCGGAUGGAAAGUGCAGCAGAAAAGACACCGCCGAUGGCCCGCAAGGGCACAGGUAAGGUUGAAAUGGUGGGGUAAGAGCCCACCGCGCCGAGGGCAACCGGAGCGGCAUUGGAAACCCCGGGUGGUGCAAGACAUAACAGGGAAAGGGCGGCCCGCCCGUCAACUCCCGGGUAUUAGUCGCACUCCGCGCAAGCGGGGCGCCCGGCGCAAGCCGGGUUGAGAGAAAUGACCGUCCAGCUCCGGGUAAAACCGGGGUGGACAGAAUCCGGCUUACAGGGAGGCGGCACCC